AACGCACCUGGCGCUCCCUGGUAUUCCGGGGAGCAUGUCUGUUUGAGUGUCAUUAAAUUCUCAACCUUUCCAGCUUUUUUUGAGCUUGGUCAGGCUUGGAUGUGGGGGUUGCGGGCUUCUCAGAAGUCGGCUCUCCUCAAAUGCAUUAGUGAGACCUUUGUUGACCAUCUCUUGGUGUGAUAAUUAUCUACGCCGCUAGAGUGUCAGCCUCAACUUGUUUGAGAGGUUCCGCUUCUAAUCGUCCUUGGGGACAACUUCUGACAAUUUGACCUCAAAUCAGGCAAGACUACCCGCUGAACUUAA
RNAcentral lists this unclassified non-coding RNA (303 nucleotides) under uncultured fungus. RNAcentral describes it as "partial contains 5.8S ribosomal RNA, internal transcribed spacer 2, and large subunit ribosomal RNA". The stretch from base 1 to 52 matches the Rfam family "5.8S ribosomal RNA", at positions 103 to 154 of the family's 154-position model. The record is from RNAcentral. Lineage: Eukaryota; Fungi. RNAcentral also lists the same sequence under 1 other name.